RNAcentral lists this ribosomal RNA (402 nucleotides) under uncultured bacterium. Its description in RNAcentral is "bacterial SSU rRNA". It matches the Rfam family "Bacterial small subunit ribosomal RNA", at positions 355 to 774 of the family's 1533-position model. The record is from RNAcentral.
UGGGGAAUAUUGCACAAUGGGCGAAGGCCUGAUGCAGCAACGCCGCGUGAGUGAUGAAGGCCUUCGGGUUGUAAAGCUCUGUCUUCUGGGACGAUAAUGACGGUACCAGAGGAGGAAGCCACGGCUAACUACGUGCCAGCAGCCGCGGUAAUACGUAGGUGGCAAGCGUUGUCCGGAUUUACUGGGCGUAAAGGAUGCGUAGGCGGAUACUUAAGUCAGAUGUGAAAAUCCCGGGCUUAACUUGGGAACUGCAUUUGAAACUGGGUAUCUAGAGUGCGGGAGAGGAAAGUGGAAUUCCUAGUGUAGCGGUGAAAUGCGUAGAGAUUAGGAAGAACACCAGUGGCGAAGGCGACUUUCUGGACCGUAACUGACGCUGAGGCAUGAAAGCGUGGGGAGCAAACA